RNAcentral lists this ribosomal RNA (448 nucleotides) under uncultured bacterium. Its description in RNAcentral is "bacterial SSU rRNA". It matches the Rfam family "Bacterial small subunit ribosomal RNA", at positions 328 to 792 of the family's 1533-position model. The record is from RNAcentral.
UGGCCAGACUCCUACGGGAGGCAGCAGUGGGGAAUAUUGCACAAUGGGGGAAACCCUGAUGCAGCGACGCCGCGUGAGUGAAGAAGUAUUUCGGUAUGUAAAGCUCUAUCAGCAGGGAAGAAAAAAGACGGUACCUGACUAAGAAGCCCCGGCUAACUACGUGCCAGCAGCCGCGGUAAUACGUAGGGGGCAAGCGUUAUCCGGAUUUACUGGGUGUAAAGGGAGCGUAGACGGUUAUGUAAGUCUGGAGUGAAAGCCCGGGGCCCAACCCCGGGACUGCUUUGGAAACUGUGUAACUGGAGUACAGGAGGGGCAGGCGGAAUUCCUGGUGUAGCGGUGAAAUGCGUAGAUAUCAGGAGGAACACCGGCGGCGAAGGCGGCCUGCUGGACUGAAACUGACGUUGAGGCUCGAAAGCGUGGGGAGCAAACAGGAUUAGAUACCCGCGUA